CCCCUGUUGGCUCAGCUCCGCCUUGCCCUCCUCGGCAGCCCCUGGCAGCGCCUGGGGGCUUUGGGACCGGACCGCGGCUCUGCCUCCCUCCCGCCCGCGGCGCGGCGGUGAGUCUCAAGUGCGGGGCUCGCUCUGCAAAGUCGCCUUUCCUGCAGGAGUUAUUGCUAAGAAAAAUAUUGGGGGAACGCAUUCCCACUAAAAAUCCAAGCAGCCACAAUGCUAGAUUAUAACAGAAAAUGUCUCUCGGUGUCCACUUUAAAUGUUAACUCCACGCACCCAAAGUCACAGUAAUGACCAAUUCCUGCUCAUGUGAAUUAUAGAAGUAAUCCCAUUUACUUCAGGGAGACCACCUACUUGACUAAGUUUCUUCUGGAGUUGCAAGGAACUCUAUUUAAAAUGCUGUCUAAGUAGUCCUCAUAUUGGGGUGUGUCUGAGAAGCCACGUAUUGCCUAUAUUACUGCAUGGGCACACAGAUCUGGUCACUCACCCUCUGCUGAUGUCUUAUGAUCAGGUAGGACAUUGAAAUUGAGGCAUCAGAAGUAUUAUCACGUUGUACAGUUGACCUUAGUUCCUUUGCUCAUUUCAGUCCUAUUAAGCUAAAAUGUCUUGCAUUUUGGUCUUGUUAAAAGCCACAUCUCCUGAUCUGAAGUUUUUGGAUGAAACACGCAUCUACAGUAUAAUGUGAAUCAAUAAUACUUCAAUUAUCCAGUCUCUGACUGUCUAGUCAUGGACUGGUGACGGUCACAUGGUCAUCCAUGAUUAACCUGGCUGCACAAGAUCAGUAAUAACCCUGAGGAGCUCUUAGAUGCUUGAAAUAAAGCCAAGCAGCGUGGUCAUGGACACUCAACUCUCUGAGCAUAUUAUUGUUGUUGUUGUUAUCCAUAUCAGAUUGUGAAAAUAAGUUAUUUCCUCCAUAUGUUGUGUUUCACAUCUAUACAUGUUUAUUCAGCCUCCCAAAAUUGAUUAUUCUCUCUUUCUAUUAUUCAUUCAUUUGUAUUUAUUUUCCCAUUUAAUUAGCUAUCUAAGAAGAUUAACCAAAUAUGUUUAUCAUCUAGCGGUGAGUUUUAUUUAAAGCAUAUUUGGCUUGCUUACCAUAAAGCUUAUUUUAAACAAAGAUUCUAAGAUUUUUUUUAAACUGUGAGCCAUUUGUUUUUCCUUUUUGUUUACACAAGUUCAAUAAUUGUUAGUUGUAAUGUGCAAAGCAUAGAUAUAACAUAAUGCUGUUUGUUUCUCUCAGUGAAUAAUUACACUUAAACCUAGUUAAUCGUAAUCAAUUAGAAAUAAGCAAGUUAGUCUUGGAGGACAGAGAGAGAAAAUUUGUGGAUAUUUCAUUCUGUUUUAGGAACACAUGAAUUGCCAUGCCAAAUUAGACUGGUGGUCCAGCUAGUGUAGCAUUCUGUCUCAGAGCCCAGUCUGAGAUGUUUCACAGGAAGGUACA
This is a long non-coding RNA of Mauremys reevesii (Reeves's turtle), 1438 nucleotides long. RefSeq lists it as uncharacterized. Lineage: Eukaryota; Metazoa; Chordata; Testudines; Geoemydidae. The record is from RefSeq and is a predicted model, not a curated record. The transcript is spliced from 3 exons.